GAUGAACGCUGGCGGUAUGCUUAACACAUGCAAGUCGAACGGUACCUUCGGGUAUAGUGGCGGACGGGUGAGUAACGCGUGAGAAUCUAUCUUCAGGUCGGGGACAACAGUUAGAAAUGACUGCUAAUACCGGAUAUGCCGAAAGGUAAAAGAUUUAUUGCCUGAAAAAGAGCUCGCGUCAGAUUAGCUAGUAGGUGGUGUAAGAGACUACCUAGGCUUCGAUCUGUAGCUGGUCUGAGAGGACGAUCAGCCACACUGGAACUGAGACACGGUCCAGACUCCUACGGGAGGCAGCAGUGGGGAAUUUUCCGCAAUGGGCGAAAGCCUGACGGAGCAAUACCGCGUGAGGGACGAAGGCUCUUGGGUCGUAAACCUCUUUUCUCAAGGAAGAUUCAGACGGUACUUGAGGAAUAAGCAUCGGCUAACUCUGUG
Molecule: ribosomal RNA, 432 nt
Filed under: uncultured bacterium
Lineage: Bacteria
Description: partial 16S ribosomal RNA
Rfam family: Bacterial small subunit ribosomal RNA
Source: RNAcentral